GAUGAACGCUGGCGGCGUGCCUAAUACAUGCAAGUCGAGCGAACGGACGAGAAGCUUGCUUCUCUGAUGUUAGCGGCGGACGGGUGAGUAACACGUGGAUAACCUACCUAUAAGACUGGGAUAACUUCGGGAAACCGGAGCUAAUACCGGAUAAUAUUUUGAACCGCAUGGUUCAAAAGUGAAAGACGGUCUUGCUGUCACUUAUAGAUGGAUCCGCGCUGCAUUAGCUAGUUGGUAAGGUAACGGCUUACCAAGGCAACGAUGCAUAGCCGACCUGAGAGGGUGAUCGGCCACACUGGAACUGAGACACGGUCCAGACUCCUACGGGAGGCAGCAGUAGGGAAUCUUCCGCAAUGGGCGAAAGCCUGACGGAGCAACGCCGCGUGAGUGACGAAGGUCUUCGGAUCGUAAAACUCUGUUAUUAGGGAAGAACAUAUGUGUAAGUAACUGUGCACAUCUUGACGGUACCUAGUCAGAAAGCCACGGCUAACUACGUG
Molecule: ribosomal RNA, 497 nt
Filed under: uncultured bacterium
Lineage: Bacteria
Description: partial 16S ribosomal RNA
Rfam family: Bacterial small subunit ribosomal RNA
Source: RNAcentral